GACUCACUGGUCCAGUGGUAAAGCGUUUGCCGCGGAGGCAGAGGGUCCUGGGUUCGAUCCCCGAUAGGUUCG
This 72-nucleotide transfer RNA is filed under the name Schistosoma japonicum. RNAcentral describes it as "tRNA-Pro". The record is from RNAcentral. Lineage: Eukaryota; Metazoa; Platyhelminthes; Trematoda; Strigeidida; Schistosomatidae.